CCACUUUAAAAGAGAAUUGAUGUUCUCUUCACGGAUGCUAUUGAGAGAUGGGAUGUAAAUACCAUUAACAAUCUUCCAGACUACAUGAUAUUGUGCUUCCUAGCGCUUUAUACCACUAUCAAUGAAAUGGCUUUUGAUAUCUUCAAAGAUCAUGCAGUCAAGUGGCUUCCCUAUCUCAAAAAAGCUUGGUGUGAUUUGUGAAAAUCGUUUCUGCAAGAAGCAAAAUGGUCCAACAACAAAGUUGUACCAGGAUUCAAGGAGUACUUAGAAAAU
Molecule: non-coding RNA, 273 nt
Organism: Arachis ipaensis
Lineage: Eukaryota; Viridiplantae; Streptophyta; Magnoliopsida; Fabales; Fabaceae
Source: RefSeq, a predicted model, not a curated record